Molecule: RNase P RNA, 337 nt
Filed under: Lachnospiraceae bacterium
Lineage: Bacteria; Bacillati; Bacillota; Clostridia; Lachnospirales; Lachnospiraceae
Description: RNase P RNA component class A
Rfam family: Bacterial RNase P class A
About the family: Ribonuclease P (RNase P) is a ubiquitous endoribonuclease, found in archaea, bacteria and eukarya as well as chloroplasts and mitochondria.
Source: RNAcentral
GGAGGCGGGCAGGUGAUCGCGGGGCCUUCGGCCACGAGGAAAGUCCGGGCUUCACAGGGCAGGAUGCCGGAUAACGUCCGGCGGAGGCGACUCCCGGGAAAGUGCAACAGAAAACAAACCGCCGGGCCUGGCCCGGUAAGGCUGAAACGGCAGUGUAAGAGACUACCGCCUGGCUGGCAACAGACAGGGCAGUGUAAACCCCAUCCGAAGCAAGACCAACAGAGAGCGCAAGGCGGCCCGUCUGCUCUCGGGUAGGUCGCUGGAGCCGUCCGGCAACGGGCGGCCUAGAUAGAUGAUCACCCAACGACAGAACCCGGCUUAUCGCCCGCCUCCCAUA